Molecule: ribosomal RNA, 468 nt
Filed under: uncultured bacterium
Lineage: Bacteria
Description: partial 16S ribosomal RNA
Rfam family: Bacterial small subunit ribosomal RNA
Source: RNAcentral
GACGAACGCUGGCGGCGUGCUUAACACAUGCAAGUCGAACGGAAAGGCCCUGCUUUUGUGGGGUGCUCGAGUGGCGAACGGGUGAGUAACACGUGAGUAACCUGCCCUUGACUUUGGGAUAACUUCAGGAAACUGGGGCUAAUACAGGAUAGGAGCUCCUGCUGCAUGGUGGGGGUUGGAAAGUUUCGGCGGUUGGGGAUGGACUCGCGGCUUAUCAGCUUGUUGGUGGGGUAGUGGCUUACCAAGGCUUUGACGGAUAGCCGGCCUGAGAGGGGGGACGGGCACAAGGCUCCUACGAGACGGCGCAGUGGGGUACGGUGGACAGUGGGCGAAAGUAUUACACAGUGGGGCGGAGCGUGAUACGGCAACGCCCGGUUCGGGAUGACCGCCUUCGGGGGGUGAACCGCUUUCGCCUGAGACGAAGCGUGAGUGACGGUAACGGGUAAAUAAGCACCGGCUAACUACGUG